Molecule: ribosomal RNA, 499 nt
Filed under: uncultured bacterium
Lineage: Bacteria
Description: bacterial SSU rRNA
Rfam family: Bacterial small subunit ribosomal RNA
Source: RNAcentral
AAAGGAAUAGACGGGGGCCCGCACAAGCAGCGGAGCAUGUGGUUUAAUUCGAAGCAACGCGAAGAACCUUACCAGGUCUUGACAUCCACAGAAGGCUAUAGAGAGAUAGCUGUGCCCUUUUAGGGAACUGUGAGACAGGUGGUGCAUGGUUGUCGCCAGCUCGUGUCGUGAGAUGUUGGGUUAAGUCCCGCAACGAGCGCAACCCUUAUUGCUAGUUGCCAUCACGUAAAGGUGGGCACUUUAGCGAGACUGCCGUGGAUAACUCGGAGGAAGGUGGGGAUGACGUCAAAUCAUCAUGCCCCUUAUGACCUGGGCUACACACGUGCUACAAUGGCCGAAACAGAGGGCAGCUAAGGAGUAAUCUGGAGCAAACCCCAAAAACCCGGUCUCAGUUCGGAUUGUGGGCUGCAAUUCGCCCAUAUGAAGCAGGAGUUGCUAGUAAUCGCGGAUCAGCGAUGCCGCGGUGAAUGCGUUCCCGGGCCUUGUACACACCGCCCGU